UACGGGGGGAGCAAGCGUUGUUCGGAUUUACUGGGCGUAAAGGGCGGGUAGGCGGCCACCGCAAGUCAGUUGUGAAAUCUCCGGGCUUAACCCGGAAAGGUCAACUGAUACUGCGGGGCUAGAGUGCAGAAGGGGCAACUGGAAUUCUCGGUGUAGCGGUGAAAUGCGUAGAUAUCGGGAGGAACACCGGUGGCGAAGGCGGUUCUCUGGGCCUGUACUGACGCUGAGGAGCGAAAGCGUGGGGAGCGAACAGG
This 254-nucleotide ribosomal RNA is filed under the name uncultured bacterium. RNAcentral describes it as "partial 16S ribosomal RNA". It matches the Rfam family "Bacterial small subunit ribosomal RNA", at positions 524 to 776 of the family's 1533-position model. The record is from RNAcentral.